GAACCAACGCUUUUGCGCGGGAAAAGGGCAACGAAGCAUCCAUUCUCUCCUGCAGCGAAAGGCCGCCAAAUUUGAUGUGUUCGUUUCGUUCAACACAGUCGUGGAUUGGUUCGCGCCGGAGAAAUGUUCAACUCAAGAUUGAAGCUGUUGCGGUAGAAGAUUUUUCCGGAGAAAGGCUAAACCGGCUGACGCUCUUGUAACUAGUUCAACGCGCUUUUACACUCUCCUAUGGUUGCAGAAAAUCGCAGAAUAAUGGAAAAACCUCCCUAUGGAGAGCUUCUGGUUUAUAAAAUUUGGCUGACUAUUUUGGGGAAAGUUGCCCGUGCUGGAGAAAAAAAGCUUCGCCUUGAUGUUAUCUUGUUCUACUUCAUCACAAAUCUCAAUUAACUUUUGUUCCAAACGAUAUUUUCCGUGUCCUAUGUAACCCUGUUCCUUAUAUUUUCCCUUUUAGUUCAAACUUUUUGCAUCUGCCAAUCAGAUUCUAAAGGAUGUAGAGAUACUCACAACCUUAUUU
Molecule: long non-coding RNA, 514 nt
Organism: Momordica charantia (bitter melon)
Lineage: Eukaryota; Viridiplantae; Streptophyta; Magnoliopsida; Cucurbitales; Cucurbitaceae
Source: RefSeq, a predicted model, not a curated record